GAUGAAGAACGUAGCGAAAUGCGAUAAGUAAUGUGAAUUGCAGAAUUCAGUGAAUCAUCGAAUCUUUGAACGCCCAUUGCGGCCGCCAGUAUUCUGGCGGGCAUGCCUGUCCGAGCGUCAUUUCAACCAUCAAGCCCCGGGCUUGUGUUGGGGACCUGCGUCCGACGCAGGCCCUGAAAACCAGUGGCGGGCUCGCUGUCCACACCGAGCGUAGUAACUAACCUCGCUAUGGAGUGGCGCGGGCGCCUGCCGUAAAACCCCCAAUUUCACAAGGUUGACCUCGGAUCAGGUAGGAAUACCCGCUGAACUUAAGCAUAUCAAUAAGCGGAGGA
This 332-nucleotide unclassified non-coding RNA is filed under the name soil metagenome. RNAcentral's name for it is "partial contains 5.8S ribosomal RNA, internal transcribed spacer 2, and large subunit ribosomal RNA". The stretch from base 1 to 120 matches the Rfam family "5.8S ribosomal RNA", at positions 35 to 154 of the family's 154-position model. The record is from RNAcentral.